This 67-nucleotide transfer RNA is filed under the name Nimbapanchax leucopterygius. RNAcentral's name for it is "tRNA-Cys". The record is from RNAcentral. Lineage: Eukaryota; Metazoa; Chordata; Actinopteri; Cyprinodontiformes; Nothobranchiidae.
AGCCCCGAGGUGUUAACAUAUUAGAUUGCAAAUCUAAAGUAGUAGGGUAGCCCCCCUGCCGGGGCUU